This is an RNA transcript of Manis pentadactyla (Chinese pangolin), 4153 nucleotides long. It is a transcript of the gene named prolyl 3-hydroxylase 2, with no coding region annotated. The transcript is spliced from 15 exons. The record is from RefSeq and is a predicted model, not a curated record. NCBI's taxonomy places the organism in Eukaryota, Metazoa, Chordata, Mammalia, Pholidota, Manidae.
AUGCACAGACACAGAGCCGUACUAAGGGAGAUGGGAAGGCAAGGAAGGGCAGACCCGCCCCAGGGGAAGCUGCCGUAAGCUUUGACUUCAAAAGCCCAGGUUUGGGUCCUUCCUUUGCCUUUUCAUAGUUCAUAACUCGGACUAACCACUCUUCCCAUCAAGCCUCCGCAACUGAGCCAACUGGCCCUCCGGGGCUUUCCUCACAGCUUGCGAUGGAGCUUUGGCGCUUCACCUGAAGGGGAGGGACUCCGCAAACUGCGAGGUCAGGUACACAUUCCCAGAGCCCUAACCUCACGAAGCCGAUUGUCUUCCUCUCCAAAAAGGGAGUUGAUCAUACACAUUCCGCCACCUAGAAAGAAGCCCACGAGUAAAGCUGUUCUCCCCGGGUCGGCCUCAAGCGGCGCUCGCUGUCUGCCUGGCACGCGGGGGGUGCAGCCCACCGCAUCCCGGCGACUGCGGCCCGGAGCCUGCAGGGCGCGCGCUGAACGCCGGCUCCUCGCCGCGGCUCGGGCGGCAGGAGGAGCGUUCGCGCUGUGGGCGUCCCUUUAAGAGCAGCCGGCCCGGCCUCCGCCUCAGUAGCGGAGCGCCAGCGGCCACCUGGGGUGCGCAGGGCAGCCAGAUCGUGGGGGCCGGCGCCCUCGCCCGCGCAGGUGGAGACCAGGCCCCGACGCCGGGGCCGCGAGCGUACGGCAGCGCGGCGGAGGAUGCGGGAGCGCAUGUGGGCGCCGCUGUCGCUGCUGCUGGCGCUCCUGCUGCCGCCGUCGCUGUGGGGUGGCCCCCCGGACCGUGAGCGCACGGAGCGGCAGCCCGAUCCCGGGCCUCUGCAGCCCUUCGACCUGCUCUACGCCAGCGGCGUGGCCGCCUACUACCGCGGGGACUACGAGAGAGCCGUGCGCGACUUGGAAGCGGCUCUGCGCAGCCACCGGCGCCUGCGGGAGAUCCGCGCGCGCUGCUCCCGCUACUGCGCCGCGCGCCGCCCGCUCGCGCCCCCGGGGGUCGGGCCCGGGGCCGAGCUGCCCUUCUUCCGUGCCUUGCUGGAGAGGGCGCGCUGUUACCGCGGCUGCCAGACCCAGCGCCUCGGGGGACCCGCGUCCCACCACCGCGUCAGCGAGGAUGUGCGCAGCGACUUCCAGCGCAGAGUGCCGUACAACUACCUGCAGCGGGCCUACAUCAAGCUUAACCAGUUGGAAAAGGCAGUGCAAGCAGCCCACACAUUUUUCAUGGCCAACCCUGAGCACAUGGAAAUACAGCAGAACAUCGAGAAUUACAGGACAAUGGCCAGCACCGAACAACUCCAGUUGGUAGACCAAGAAGCCAGACCACACCUGGAGAGCUAUGGUGCAGGAGUGAAGCACUAUGAAGCCAAUGACUUUGAGCUAGCUAUCAAGUACUUUGAGCAAGCUUUAAGGGAAUAUUUCAAUGAAGACAUGGAAUGCAGAGCCUUGUGUGAAGGGCCUCAGAGAUUUGAAGAGUAUGAAUACUUAGGAUAUAAAGCUGGUCUCUAUGAAGCCAUUGCAGAUCACUACAUGCAGGUGCUAGUCUGUCAGCAUGAGUGUGUGAGGGAACUAGCCACCCGCCCUGGCCGCCUCUCCCCAAUUGAGAACUUUCUUCCCCUGCAUUAUGACUACCUACAGUUUGCCUACUAUCAAGUUGGCGAAUAUGUGAGAGCUUUGGAGUGUGCCAAGGCCUAUCUCCUGCUCCAUCCGGACGAUGAGGAUGUCCUAGACAAUGUGGAUCAUUAUGAGAGCCUCCUGGACGACAGUACUGACCCAGCAUCCAUUGAGGCCAGAGAGGAUUUGACAGUGUUUGUGAAGCGUCAUAAACUGGAAUCAGAGCUAAUAAAAUCAGCUGCAGAGGGCCUAGGAUUUUCAUACACUGAACCGAAUUAUUGGAUCCGUUAUGGAGGACGGCAGGAUGAGAAUCGGGUCCCUUCAGGAGUGAACGUGGAGGGUGCAGAAGUUCAUGGAUUGUCAAUGGGGAAAAAAUCAUCACCUAAGAUAGACCGAGACCUCAGAGAAGGUGGUCCUCUGCCCUAUGAGAACAUCACGCUCGUCUAUGACUCGCAACAGCUGAACGGGACUCAGCGGGUUCUCCUGGACAAUGUCCUGUCAGAGGAGCAGUGCCGGGAGCUCCACAGCGUGGCCAGCGGAAUCAUGCUUGUAGGAGAUGGAUACAGAGGAAAAACUUCACCCCACACACCCAAUGAAAAGUUUGAAGGUGCCACUGUCCUGAAAGCACUCAAAUUCGGGUAUGAAGGCCGAGUCCCACUGAAGAGUGCCCGUCUGUUUUAUGACAUCAGCGAGAAGGCUCGAAAGAUUGUAGAAUCCUAUUUCAUGUUGAACACAACCCUGUAUUUUUCCUAUACACACAUGGUCUGCCGAACUGCCCUGUCUGGUCAACAGGAUAGAAGAAAUGACCUCAGUCAUCCCAUCCAUGCUGACAACUGCCUGUUGGAUCCAGAGGCAAAUGAAUGCUGGAAGGAGCCUCCUGCUUACACAUUCCGGGACUAUAGUGCUCUCCUGUAUAUGAAUGAUGACUUUGAAGGAGGAGAAUUCAUAUUUACCGAGAUGGAUGCCAAGACUGUGACUGUAGGCCUCUAUAAAACCAAAGUGUGGGCGUAUGAUUAGUUUCUCAUCUGGAGGAGAGAACCCACAUGGGGUGAAGGCUGUCACCAAGGGCCAGAGGUGUGCUGUGGCGCUGUGGUUUACCUUGGACCCACUUUAUAGAGAACUGGAGCGAAUACAGGCCGAUGAAGUGAUCGCAAUCCUAGAUCAAGAACAGCAAGGGAAGCACCAACUGAAUAUCAACCCCAAAGAUGAGCUGUAAAAUGAGAGUGUUCUAUUAUCAGUUAUUUAUUUAAAUUGUUAAUCUUAUGAGAACCUUUUUAUUUUUGUACAGAGCCAUGGUAUAAAUUAACAUGUUAACCUGAGUCACCCUUCUGUCCUUCUGUCCUUCUGUCCCUAAGGAUGCUUGCUUUGCCUCACUCUGUCUCUCCUGGUAUUUCAAUUCAUCUCUCAAAGCCUGGUCACCCCCUCCACCCCACAACCACACACACACACACACACACACGCGUACUUCAUUUGCUCCAGCUCUAAAAUUAGCAUGGGAUUUGGAGUCAGGGCCUUCUGGCUCUGUGCUCCAGGAAGGGCUGCCCUAUGACUUUUGUCUUUAAAUGGGGGUUGAAGAAUGAUUCUUUACCACAGUGACUUUGGAAGAAAAUCUGUAAUCCCACCUGAAUCAGGACUCCAUCAUCACACUGUGUGAGAGUGAGGUUCACUGGAGAGAAGGAGCAUUUUGUAAGAAAAAUGGACUUCUGAUGAACUCCAGUCUUCGUCUGCCUGUAUUUUGCCAACCCCUCUUCUUGCGACUGUCCAGCACAUGAAUUCAUGCUUGUGUCGGAUUUGUUUAAUACAGAGAGGCUUAUUUUACUAUCUGGCAUUUAUUUUCCUUCUCCCAAACUUUUGGUUUAUCUUGGGAAAUGGCUUUUUGGUCCCGCUGGUGCUUUGGGGACAGCCCAGGGACAACACUGGCCUAUGGUGAGUUUUGCCGGCAGUUGCUCCAGGGCUGCAGGAAGAUGGGAGAACUGCUUUUGAAGGAACAGAUGGUUAGCAAACAGAGGGGUUAAAUCCAGAGAGCCUCUGGUCCUUGCCACAGUUCUAAGGAAGACACGGCACAGACAUUGUUUGAGGUAGGACUGGGGUGGUUCUAGCCUAGGGGAGCCUGCACCACCAACGAGGGGGGAUCACCUGCCUCUGCAAUGGGCAGCAGUAGAGGUAGAGGCCCUUAAGAAAACCAGCAAAUCAAAACAUUUCUGAAAAAUCACAUUUCCUUUCUGCCAUUUAUGAUCAUGUUUAGCGGUGAGAACAUUCAGUCUUUGACACUGAGAAACUGAAUCAUAGAGAUUUAUGUGCCACCUGUUUCCACCCGACCUUUGGUUGCCUUUUCAUCAUGGGAGAGUGGAAAGAGCACUCGGGUUAUGAUCCCGGCCUGAUCAAAUGUGCCCUGCUGUGUGACCUGGAGCUACUCUCUUUCCCUUUCUGGGCGUCGGUUUCCUCUUCUGAAAAUGACAUAAUGGGUUGUAAUUGUUUCCAAAAGCCCUCCUGCCUUUUGCUCCAUACACAAAACAAAACAAAUAAAACAAAAACAAAACUGA